CUGGGGGAAAGAGAGAGAGGGGGGGGGGGGGGGAGGGGGAGGGAGGGAGGGAGGAAGACAGAAAGAAAAGAAAUAAAAAAUAAAGAAGGAAUAAAGAAAAGCAGCUACCACCGUCCACAGCAGCAGAGCUGGCCUGCAUUCUGCAUAAAGAGCUCGGGCCAAUGGGCAUUCCUACAAAUAGAGCUGAGAGCAAGCAGGCAAGAGACUCUAAGCAGACAAGCCUCAGGGGCAGCAUAGAAGAUUGUGGCUCCUGCUUGCAAUCCCAAUGCUAGAGAAGCAGAGGCAGGAGGAUUGCUGAGUUUAAAGCCAGCCUGGGCUUUAAAUGGCUUACUAUGUGGAGGUAGGCAGGGAGUGAGGGGUUUGUUACUGUGGUGGAGGUCAGAGGUCAGAGGUCAGAGGACAACUUGCAGGAGUUGGUUCUCUCUCUCCAUCCCGUGGGUCCCAGGGAUCGAGCUCAGGUCACCAGGCGUGGAGGCAAAUGCUGUCGCCUCCCGAGUCACCUCCCGGGCACUUAGGCAGACUCUUAACAAAUAAGCAUCAACCCCAGGACAAAAGGGAGUUGUAAGUCUGCAGACUCACUUCUUACCUCCCCUCUCCGUAAUCUGCUGGCUCUUCCCUCAUCCGAUAAGUACUCCCACCUGCAGUAUUCACGGCUCUCUCAGGUCUCACAGACUGGAUCAACCCCUUAUUUAUUUAACCAAAUGCUUCCAGUUGCGAAGUUUCUUCUCUUUUGUUCCUUAGGAUGGAUUUAGGUUGGUCCCAUUUUUCUCUGUAGAAGCAAAUUUACGAAGGACAUCUUAGAAGCAAAAUUUCAGGACACAUGACCAGAAACAAGGUGUUCAAAACAGUGUGAAUAUUGUAAGGAGUGUGGCCACGCAUGACGUAUGAUCCCAAGGGGUUGUUCCUGUGCUCAGCCAUGUAUCCAACACCCGAUGGCAACCACAUGCCCUUUUUUUUGCUGUGUCUCCAGACACCUUGUUUUCUCCUGGGAUGGACUCUGUGUUCCUGCCAGCACUGUGUAACGACCUUGUUGAGAAUGUGAUUCUCUGUACAUGUGUAUGUGGUGGCACACGCCUUUAAUUCCAGCGCUCGGCAGGUAGAGGCAGGCAGAUCUCUGUGUUAGAGACUAGCCUGGUCUACAGAGUGAGUUCCAGGACAGUCAGGGCUAUAUAGAGAAAUCCUGUCUCCAAUCAAUCAAUCAAUCAAUCAAUCAAACACACAAAUGUGAUUCUCAG
Molecule: long non-coding RNA, 1235 nt
Filed under: Mus spicilegus (steppe mouse)
Lineage: Eukaryota; Metazoa; Chordata; Mammalia; Rodentia; Muridae
Description: lncRNA (ENSMSIG00000011550.1)
Source: RNAcentral